CCUGGCUAAAAAAUAUGUGACCGCCCCCCAACUGUUUCCACCUCCCCACCCUGCUAAAUUAUGACCAGUCCCUUAAUCUAGAAUUAAUGAACCAAUGAUUGUUUUUUUGUGCUACUAUUUGGAGGCUGAGUUAUGCUUUGAUUUGACUGGUACAGGUUCAUAAUAAAACUACCUGUAUAUUUUAAUAUAUUCAAAUGUUCAAAAUAAUUGUAUAGUUUUUGGAUUAUUUAAUUAAUAAUAAAUUCAAAUUUUGAAAUGAUCAUUUCUGUUUUCUGAAUUGUUU
Molecule: non-coding RNA, 283 nt
Organism: Paramuricea clavata
Lineage: Eukaryota; Metazoa; Cnidaria; Anthozoa; Malacalcyonacea; Plexauridae
Source: the annotation of a GenBank genome assembly